RNAcentral lists this transfer RNA (80 nucleotides) under Clavaria fumosa. Its description in RNAcentral is "tRNA-Ser". The record is from RNAcentral. Lineage: Eukaryota; Fungi; Basidiomycota; Agaricomycetes; Agaricales; Clavariaceae.
GGAAUAGUUUUCAUUGGUAAGUUAAGGCGAUUGCUAAUUGUUCGGGGUAACCCUUAGGUGUUCGAAUCACCUCUAUUCCG